This 911-nucleotide ribosomal RNA is filed under the name uncultured bacterium. RNAcentral describes it as "bacterial SSU rRNA". It matches the Rfam family "Bacterial small subunit ribosomal RNA", at positions 10 to 916 of the family's 1533-position model. The record is from RNAcentral.
AGUUUGAUCCUGGCUCAGGAUGAACGCUAGCUACAGGCUUAACACAUGCAAGUCGAGGGGCAGCAUGAACUUAGCUUGCUAAGUUUGAUGGCGACCGGCGCACGGGUGAGUAACGCGUAUCCAACCUGCCCUUGUCCACUGGAUAACCCGUCGAAAGGCGGACUAACACGGUAUGCAGUCCACAGCAGACAUCUAACGUGGACGAAAUGUGAAGGAGAAGGAUGGGGAUGCGUCUGAUUAGCUUGUUGGCGGGGUAACGGCCCACCAAGGCGACGAUCAGUAGGGGUUCUGAGAGGAAGGUCCCCCACAUUGGAACUGAGACACGGUCCAAACUCCUACGGGAGGCAGCAGUGAGGAAUAUUGGUCAAUGGGCGAGAGCCUGAACCAGCCAAGUAGCGUGCAGGAUGACGGCCCUAUGGGUUGUGAACUGCUUUUAUACGGGGAUAAAGUGAGCCACGUGUGGCUUAUUGCAGGUACCGUAUGAAUAAGGACCGGCUAAUUCCGUGCCAGCAGCCGCGGUAAUACGGAAGGUCCGGGCGUUAUCCGGAUUUAUUGGGUUUAAAGGGAGCGUAGGCCGUCUGUUAAGCGUGUUGUGAAAUGUCGGGGCUCAACCUGGGCAUUGCAGCGCGAACUGGCAGACUUGAGUGCGCAGGAAGUAGGCGGAAUUCGUCGUGUAGCGGCGAAAUGCUUAGAUAUGACGAAGAACUCCGAUUGCGAAGGCAGCCUGCUGUAGCGUAACUGACGCUGAAGCUCGAAAGCGUGGGUAUCGAACAGGAUUAGAUACCCUGGUAGUCCACGCGGUAAACGAUGGAUGCUCGCUGUUUGCGUCUGACGUAAGCGGCCAAGCGAAAGCGUUAAGCAUCCCACCUGGGGAGUACGCCGGCAACGGUGAAACUCAAAGGAAUUGACGG